This 1414-nucleotide ribosomal RNA is filed under the name Giardia sp. quenda. RNAcentral's name for it is "SSU rRNA". It matches the Rfam family "Eukaryotic small subunit ribosomal RNA". The record is from RNAcentral. Lineage: Eukaryota; Fornicata; Diplomonadida; Hexamitidae.
CAUCCGGUCGAUCCUGCCGGAGCAAGACGCUUUCCUCAAGGACAAAGCCAUGCAUGCCGGCACACCACGGCGGACGGCUCAGGACAACGGUUGGAAGCCGAGCGGCGGUCACAGCUAGCCGGACACCGCUGGCAACCCGGCGCCAAGACGUGUGCGCAAGUGCGAGAGCCCGGGGGCGAGCAGCGUGACGGAGCGACGGCCCGCAGGCCCUUCCGGGGCAUCAUCUGGUCGGCAGGGUCAGGGCCUACCGAGGAGACGACGCCUGGCGGAGAAUCAGGGUUCGACUCCGGAGAGCGGGCCUGAGAGACGGCCUGCACACCCAAGGACGGCAGCAGGCGCGGAACUUGCCCAAUGCACGGCGAGGCAGCGACGAGGAGUGACACGGGAGGCGGAGGCACAGGGCCCGCCGGGGAGCCGAGGGCAAGGUCUGGUGCCAGCAGCCGCGGUAAUUCCAGCUCGGCAGGCGUCCUGCGGUGGUGCUGCASUUAAAGCGUCCGGCGUCSACCCASCACCGCCACGAGGAAACGGGAGCGCUCCAGGCAGGCUCGGAGGACCCCUGGAUGGGACGGAGACGCCGAAGACAGCCCAGGCAGCGCGCCGGAGGAGAGCGUCCGGGGGCACUGGUACCGGCGGGGGACGGGUGAAACAGGAUGAUCCCGCGGAGACCGACGGGCGCACAGGSGUCUGCCCAGCACGCCUCUGUCGAUCCAGGGCGAAGGCCGGGGGCUAGAAGGCGAUCAGACACCACCGUAUUCCCGGCCGUAAACGAUGCCGCCCGGCGUCUGGCGCGUGGAUCCCGUCGGACGCCCAGGGAAACCGGGAGGGUCCGGGCUCUGGGGGGAGUAUGGCCGCAAGGCUGAAACUUGAAGGCAUUGACGGAGGGGUACCACCAGACGUGGAGUCUGCGGCUCAAUCUGACUCAACGCGCACACCUCACCAGGCCCGACGCACGGAGGACGGACAGCGGAGAGCGCUUUCAGGACGUGCGGACGGUGGUGCAUGGCCGCUCCUAGCCCGUGGCUCGAGCCGUCUGCUUAACUGCGACAACGAGCGAGACCCCGGCUGUCAGAGUGACAGGACUGCCCGUGGAAGCGGGAGGAGGACGGGGCGAUAGCAGGUCUGUGAUGCCCUCAGACGCCCUGGGCUGCACGCGUACUACACUGGGGGGCACAGCUGAGACGCGAGAGCGCCGGUGGAGAGCCCCCCGUGGCUGGGACUGCGGGCUGGAAUGCCCCCACGAACCAGGAAUGUCUUGUAGGCGUCCACCAGCGCCGGAUCCGUCCCUGCCCCUUGUACACACCGCCCGUCGCUCCUACCGACGGACCCGACGGCGAGCGUCCCGGAGAGGAAGGUCCGCGAGCCCCAGGAUCUGGAGGAAGGAGAAGUCCUAACAAGGUAUCCGUAGGUGAACCUG